CCUACGGGAGGCAGCAGUGAGGAAUAUUGGACAAUGGGCGCAAGCCUGAUCCAGCCAUGCCGCGUGCAGGAAGACGGUCCUAUGGAUUGUAAACUGCUUUUGUACGGGAAGAAACACUCCUACGUGUAGGAGCUUGACGGUACCGUAAGAAUAAGGAUCGGCUAACUCCGUGCCAGCAGCCGCGGUAAUACGGAGGAUCCAAGCGUUAUCCGGAAUCAUUGGGUUUAAAGGGUCCGUAGGCGGUUUAGUAAGUCAGUGGUGAAAGCCCAUCGCUCAACGAUGGAACGGCCAUUGAUACUGCUAGACUUGAAUUACUAGGAAGUAACUAGAAUAUGUAGUGUAGCGGUGAAAUGCUUAGAUAUUACAUGGAAUACCAAUUGCGAAGGCAGGUUACUACUAGUGGAUUGACGCUGAUGGACGAAAGCGUGGGGAGCGAACAGGAUUAGAUACCCUGGUAGUCCACGCCGUAAACGAUGGAUACUAGCUGUUCGGGGCAACCUGAGUGGCUAAGCGAAAGUGAUAAGUAUCCCACCUGGGGAGUACGUUCGCAAGAAUGAAACUCAAAGGAAUUGACGGCUGAGACGNGCGAGACGACGACGAGGGAGGAGG
This 609-nucleotide ribosomal RNA is filed under the name uncultured bacterium. RNAcentral describes it as "bacterial SSU rRNA". It matches the Rfam family "Bacterial small subunit ribosomal RNA", at positions 338 to 948 of the family's 1533-position model. The record is from RNAcentral.